GGACAGAUGGCCGAGUGGUCUAAGGCGGUUGACUUAAGUUACCCUAUAACUAUCUCAACUAUCGAAAGAUGCGUGGGUUCGAACCCCACUCUGUUCA
RNAcentral lists this transfer RNA (97 nucleotides) under Coniochaeta pulveracea. It matches the Rfam family "tRNA". From Rfam's summary of the family: Transfer RNA (tRNA) molecules are approximately 80 nucleotides in length. Their secondary structure includes four short double-helical elements and three loops (D, anti-codon, and T loops). The record is from Rfam by way of RNAcentral. Lineage: Eukaryota; Fungi; Ascomycota; Sordariomycetes; Coniochaetales; Coniochaetaceae.